This is a long non-coding RNA of Cannabis sativa, 785 nucleotides long. RefSeq lists it as uncharacterized. The record is from RefSeq and is a predicted model, not a curated record. The transcript is spliced from 2 exons. Lineage: Eukaryota; Viridiplantae; Streptophyta; Magnoliopsida; Rosales; Cannabaceae.
UCAUGACUAACUAGUAUAUAUAUACAGCAUAUAUCUCGUUUUUUAUUCCCAACCCUGAAAAUGCAAACGGCCUGAAAGAAAAACCCUAACGCAUUUCCCUCUUCUGUAGUGUAAUCUCUACUCUACCACAACACGCACUCUCGAAUCUCGAUCUCUAAUUUUUUCUAAAUGUAAGGCGAUUCAAUAAUCAUCUCAGUAUACAUGUUCUUCAGAGAAAGUUUAACUGAGAUGAUUUAUUGAAUUGCUCUACAUUAUGAAAGAAAAAAAAAAACUAAAGAAAAAGAAGAAAGAAAACAGAUCAGGCGUUACAAUUGGUGUGUGGUGAUCGCGAUCGUUCUGUGAAAAAUCUAUUAAGUAAAGUGGUGAUGCAUGUGAAGCUCAAAUUGAAUUUUAGAAAACAAGUUUGACAUCAUAAAGAGGAUUAAAGUCAUUGGUUAUAAGCCUUUAAUUUGGAAAAUUUAGUCGGAUUAAGAAAUUUUGUUAGUCAGCUUAAUGAGCAGCAGGUUAUUUGGUUGUAGUGGUUUAUAUGCUUGGUGCUAUUUGUACGUGAAAUUCUGUGCUGUUGUUAUUUGAAUCCACAUACAUUUUUUUUAAUGAAAGUUCAUGAUUCUAACUUGUAAUCAGAUUUCAUCCACGGGUGUUUAAUUUUUUCAAUUUAAGAUAACCAUGUAUUAUGUAUGGUGAUUCUUGACUUGUGAUCAAUUGAUCAUCAUUUUCAUAUUGGUGGUGUUUUAUAUUAGAAACCAAAAUAAUAUUGAAUCAAACUAAAGAACUUUUCUGGGUGA